Molecule: ribosomal RNA, 301 nt
Filed under: uncultured bacterium
Lineage: Bacteria
Description: partial 16S ribosomal RNA
Rfam family: Bacterial small subunit ribosomal RNA
Source: RNAcentral
CAGUCGCCGCGGGAAUACGUAGGUGGCAAGCGUUGUCCGGAAUUAUUGGGCGUAAAGCGCGCGCAGGUGGUUUAAUAAGUCUGAUGUGAAAGCCCACGGCUCAACCGUGGAGGGUCAUUGGAAACUGUUAAACUUGAGUGCAGGAGAGAAAAGUGGAAUUCCUAGCGUAGCGGUGAAAUGCGUAGAGAUUAGGAGGAACACCAGUGGCGAAGGCGGCUUUUUGGCCUGUAACUGACACUGAGGCGCGAAAGCGUGGGGAGCAAACAGGAUUAGAUACCCGUGUAGUCCCUGUCUCUUAUAC